This 72-nucleotide transfer RNA is filed under the name Camelus ferus (Wild Bactrian camel). It matches the Rfam family "tRNA". Rfam says of the family: Transfer RNA (tRNA) molecules are approximately 80 nucleotides in length. The record is from Rfam by way of RNAcentral. Lineage: Eukaryota; Metazoa; Chordata; Mammalia; Artiodactyla; Camelidae.
GAGGAUAGAGCUCAGUCGUGGAGCACAUGCUUAGCAUGCAUGAGGUCCUGGGUACAAUCCCCAGUAUCACCA